AGAGUUCAGUAACUAAACACUUAAAAUAUAAUAAUGACAUUGCAAUAUGAAUUGAAUUUCUAUGCUUUUAAAAGUACAGAGUCAUUGGUGGUUGUAUGUUUUCGAUUCUUGGAUUAAGGGAUAUGCGGUUAUAAUGAUGUGGGCUCCGUAGGGUUGAGUGGAUGGUUGGUUGAAUAGUAUAAUCUAAUAGAUGAAAAUGAUCAAAAACGUAGAUCUAACGGUAAAAAAUUUACAAGCACCUAGCGCUUGGUGCUUUUACAAACACACAUAGCCGGAGUCUUGCAAUAUCAUUAGCUAGUAACAUUUUAGGGUACCUUCUAAAUUACUUAUAGCAACACUUUUAAUUUAGACUAAAUACAUAAAACUCCUCUGUCAAAACCCGAUUUUUCACUUUCUAUUUUUGUCAUUUAAAACCUACACUUUACCCACUUAUAAAAUGAAAAUUAUUUACUUCAUCCUUUACCGUUAGUAAUCCGUUCCGUUUAUAAAAUAUUAUUAUAUAUUUUUUUAUGCCAAAAAUGCCCUCAGUCUUCUAUCCUGUGAAUAUGGUGAGGGGCAAAAUGGUGAGGGGCAAAAAGAUCAUUUUGUCAUCACAAUUCACACCGUUCCCCUUGUGAACAUUUUUAAUUUUACAAGGGAGUAAAGUGUAGGUUUUUAAAUGACAGGGAGGGAAGGU
This 676-nucleotide long non-coding RNA is filed under the name Ananas comosus (pineapple). RNAcentral's name for it is "long non-coding RNA (ACOM_LNC024689)". The record is from RNAcentral. Lineage: Eukaryota; Viridiplantae; Streptophyta; Magnoliopsida; Poales; Bromeliaceae.